CACGUAGGGCGCAAGCGUUGUCCGGAAUUAUUGGGCGUAAAGAGCUCGUAGGCGGUCUGUUGCGUCCGCUGUGAAAACUCGGGGCUUAACCCCGAGCCUGCAGUGGAUACGGGCAGACUAGAGGUAGGUAGGGGAGAAUGGAAUUCCCGGUGUAGCGGUGAAAUGCGCAGAUAUCGGGAGGAACACCGGUGGCGAAGGCAGGUCUCUGGGCCAUUACUGACACUGAGAAGCGAAAGCAUGGGGAGCGAACAGG
This 253-nucleotide ribosomal RNA is filed under the name uncultured bacterium. RNAcentral describes it as "partial 16S ribosomal RNA". It matches the Rfam family "Bacterial small subunit ribosomal RNA", at positions 524 to 776 of the family's 1533-position model. The record is from RNAcentral.